RNAcentral lists this ribosomal RNA (399 nucleotides) under uncultured bacterium. RNAcentral's name for it is "bacterial SSU rRNA". It matches the Rfam family "Bacterial small subunit ribosomal RNA", at positions 30 to 431 of the family's 1533-position model. The record is from RNAcentral.
AUUGAACGCUGGCGGAAUGCUUUACACAUGCAAGUCGAACGGCAGCACGAGGGCAACCUUGGUGGCGAGUGGCGAACGGGUGAGUAAUACAUCGGAACGUGCCCAGUCGUGGGGGAUAACGUAGCGAAAGCUACGCUAAUACCGCAUACGAUCUAUGGAUGAAAGCGGGGGACCGUAAGGCCUCGCGCGAUUGGAGCGGCCGAUGGCAGAUUAGGUAGUUGGUGGGGUAAAGGCUCACCAAGCCUGCGAUCUGUAGCUGGUCUGAGAGGACGACCAGCCACACUGGAACUGAGACACGGUCCAGACUCCUACGGGAGGCAGCAGUGGGGAAUUUUGGACAAUGGGCGCAAGCCUGAUCCAGCCAUUCCGCGUGCAGGAUGAAGGCCUCGGUUGUAACGU